This 787-nucleotide ribosomal RNA is filed under the name Lactococcus taiwanensis. Its description in RNAcentral is "bacterial SSU rRNA". It matches the Rfam family "Bacterial small subunit ribosomal RNA", at positions 49 to 819 of the family's 1533-position model. The record is from RNAcentral. Lineage: Bacteria; Bacillati; Bacillota; Bacilli; Lactobacillales; Streptococcaceae.
CUAUACAUGCAAGUUGAGCGCUGAAGAUUGGUACUUGUACCGAUUGGAUGAGCAGCGAACGGGUGAGUAACGCGUGGGGAAUCUGCCUUUGAGCGGGGGACAACAUUUGGAAACGAAUGCUAAUACCGCAUAAUAGCUUUAAACAUAAGUUUUAAGUUUGAAAGAUGCAAUUGCAUCACUCAAAGAUGAUCCCGCGUUGUAUUAGCUAGUUGGUGAGGUAAAGGCUCACCAAGGCGAUGAUACAUAGCCGACCUGAGAGGGUGAUCGGCCACAUUGGGACUGAGACACGGCCCAAACUCCUACGGGAGGCAGCAGUAGGGAAUCUUCGGCAAUGGACGAAAGUCUGACCGAGCAACGCCGCGUGAGUGAAGAAGGUUUUCGGAUCGUAAAACUCUGUUGUUAGAGAAGAACGACGAGGAGAGUGGAAAGCUCCUCGUGUGACGGUAUCUAACCAGAAAGGGACGGCUAACUACGUGCCAGCAGCCGCGGUAAUACGUAGGUCCCGAGCGUUGUCCGGAUUUAUUGGGCGUAAAGCGAGCGCAGGUGGUUUAUUAAGUCUGGUGUAAAAGGCAGUGGCUCAACCAUUGUAUGCAUUGGAAACUGGUAGACUUGAGUGCAGGAGAGGAGAGUGGAAUUCCAUGUGUAGCGGUGAAAUGCGUAGAUAUAUGGAGGAACACCGGUGGCGAAAGCGGCUCUCUGGCCUGUAACUGACACUGAGGCUCGAAAGCGUGGGGAGCAAACAGGAUUAGAUACCCUGGUAGUCCACGCCGUAAACGAUGAGUGCUAG